This 98-nucleotide transfer RNA is filed under the name Pseudocercospora eumusae. RNAcentral describes it as "Mycosphaerella eumusae tRNA". It matches the Rfam family "tRNA". From Rfam's summary of the family: Transfer RNA (tRNA) molecules are approximately 80 nucleotides in length. Their secondary structure includes four short double-helical elements and three loops (D, anti-codon, and T loops). Further hydrogen bonds mediate the characteristic L-shaped molecular structure. tRNAs have two regions of fundamental functional importance: the anti-codon, which is responsible for specific mRNA codon recognition, and the 3' end, to which the tRNAs corresponding amino acid is attached (by aminoacyl-tRNA synthetases). tRNAs cope with the degeneracy of the genetic code in two manners: having more than one tRNA (with a specific anti-codon) for a particular amino acid; and 'wobble' base-pairing, i.e. permitting non-standard base-pairing at the 3rd anti-codon position. The record is from Rfam by way of RNAcentral. Lineage: Eukaryota; Fungi; Ascomycota; Dothideomycetes; Mycosphaerellales; Mycosphaerellaceae.
GGCGUUGUAGCAAAGUGGUUACUGCGUUUGACUCGAAUGCUCUAUCUUUCGGCCAUCAAAUCCCUUCGGGGGCGUAGGUUCGAGUCCUGCCAACGUCG